This is a small nuclear RNA of Dermacentor andersoni, 185 nucleotides long. RefSeq annotates it as U2 spliceosomal RNA. The record is from RefSeq and is a predicted model, not a curated record. Lineage: Eukaryota; Metazoa; Arthropoda; Arachnida; Ixodida; Ixodidae.
AGACAUGGGCAACGUGGGUCAAGGUGUAACAUUUGUUCUUAUCAGCUUAAAAUCUGAUACGAGUUUUAUUUGGACCCAAGACAUUAAACUUAUUUUUGCAAGGUUGUGGGAGUGCUCCAAGCCUGCUUCACCUUUGCUGCGGGUCGGCCGGGUAUUUCGCUAUCUCUGGUGUUGGUCCGCGGUUU